Rattus norvegicus (Norway rat) is the source of this 20650-nucleotide non-coding RNA. The record is from RefSeq and is a predicted model, not a curated record. Lineage: Eukaryota; Metazoa; Chordata; Mammalia; Rodentia; Muridae.
UUUUUUUUUCGGGAAGAGCAGUCAGUGGUUUUUUUUUUUUUUUUUUUUUUUUUUUCAGAGCUGGGGACCGAACCCAGGGCCUUACGCUUCCUAGGCAAGCGCUCUACCACUGAGCUAAAUCCCCAACCCCCAUAAUUGACUUUUUUAAUUGGAGCUAUGUCUUUGAUGCAAAUAAUUGUACCAGAGGUGAAUCCCGGUUGAAGUCUAGUUAAGCAAGACAGAAAGAAUGAAAGAAAAUCUUUGACUGGACAAGGGAUCUGGUAAGGGACCAAGAUUCAGAUGCAACGACAAAUGUUAUCUAUAGUUGUGUAUCCUUACAAUGGCCUUGGCCUGGGUCUUAUGAUGCAAUGUAUGCUGGCCAUGAGUCCACCGUGCUCUUCUUGUCAUAGCCUCACAAGUGCUGGGUGACAGCCAUGUACCAGCAUCCUCUGGAUUUUUAAACCAUGUGUGUUUUUCCAGUUCACAGUUGCUGCACUGAAUCUAACACAUAGACAUGUUUUGCCUAACACUCACACUCCCCCCAAAUAUUUAAGAUGUGACAACUUUUUAAAAGAUUUUUAUUCUAUUUUAUUUAUAUGAGUACACUGUCGAGUUUUCAGACACACCAGAAGAGGGCACCGAAUUGAGCUCAGGACCCCUGGAAAUGCCGUCAAUGUUCUUAACCACUGCGCCAUCCCUUGACAAUUUCUUUUACAAACUUAUUUUUCUUUCUUUGCAAAAGACCCAGAUAUAUCACAGUCCCAGACUUUCACAGUAAUACCACUCCAGACCUCUGUGGUGCUUGCUGCCUUCCCAUGGACUAGAGGGCUCUGCGGUUUAUUGAAACCUCGCCUGCUUCUUCACGCCAUCUCGUUGCUCAGGCAGAGGUAGGCGUAUACUAAGGAUUCCUGGAAUAAAAAGCUCAGAGAAGGCAGGCAGAGGGAAAGCUCUAUGCCUUACCUUUUGGAAAUUGAUUUCACCCAUGGGUGUUUGCAUGUGCUGUGUACAGUUAUGUUCUCAUGAAGGAAAGUACUCCAAAUGGGUCACAAACGACCAGUAAUCAUCCCGCUUCAACUGUCAUGUGUGCAGCACUUUGAUGCAAUGCUCAUAGAAGUCAGAAGAGGGCGUCAGUUCCCCCAGAACUGGAAUUAUAGAGGGUUCUAAGCCAACAUGUGAGUACUGGCAACCAAUCCCAAGUCUUCUGCAAAGGCAGCAAACGUUCUUAAUCUCUGAGUCAUUUCUCCAGCCACCAACUGAUUCGUUUAUACCUCACAGCUUAGUAAAAAUGACAGAAGAAGCAAACAGAAGAACUAACAUUCUUUAAGGCGAUUCUUUACCAAAGUCAGGAUGAAGAUCAUGUCCUUCGGGCACGGAAUUCUGGCAUCUGUGCGUUAGAGCCGAAGUCUGGAAUAUCACAAGAGAACUCUCACUGACUCUUAGUCCGUUUGACAGAGCGUGUCCUGCAAUAUUGCAGCAGUGUCUUUAGCACCAAGGAGCUGUGUGAUUUUCUCACAAUACCUGUCAUACUGCACAUGAUGUCAUAAAGAAGGCAAGUGCGGGAGGCAGUCCUCUAGCCACAGUGUCCAUUGCUGCUAUGAUCUGUUGUCAUCGACCACGAAUACUGCUUUGGGGUCGCAGACCAAGCACUAUCAUGCGCUGUCCUUGACAGCAGGGAGUUCCAGGAUUUUCAACCACUUCAGAAGACACUAUGGUAGCUUGCGUCUUUGGUUCUUUGUGGCUAAAUUGGGCCAGUUGAGACUUUCAUCAGGAUGCUGAAAGGUGACAUGAGUCAGGGAAGUGAUUUUCUAAGAACUCUAUUAGUGCAGUGUGUCCAGGAGAGCGUCUUUACCACACCCCAUAGAAACUGAUCUGUCAGCUCCUCUGCCAGCGAGGGAUACAGCGCCGCUCACAGUACAGACUAAGUAAUUGCUCCGCGAGAGCUCCAGCAGCUUUCCCUGGUCUUGCUUCUCUGGUUUCUUUUCCCAGUCUGCCCAGACUUUGAUCUCCUAAUUGAUAGUUUGACAUUCAAGGUUGCUUUUCUGUGUUCGUUUUGUUUUUUUUGUUUUUUUUUUUUGUUUUUUUUGUUUUGUUUUUGUUUUUCAUAGAAAGAACAUCCUCCACAUUAUGUAUGACCCAAGUAAAAAGUAAAAACUGGAACAAUAACAACAGGCAAACAACCUUCAGUGGAUCCAAAUAAGAUGUUUCUGAAAGCCUUUGAGCCAUACAUAGCAGGCUGCAGGCAGUUCCGAGGCCCGAUACAAGGUGGAAAGUGCAUAACCAAUGGAACUGAACCCUUCUAAAGGUUUUGGAACACUGUUGGCCAUUUUUCUAAGGAGGAUGGUGACUAAAGAGACAAGAUAGCUACGAGAGUGGAUAUUUGAAGGGGCAAUGUGGAGUCUGAGAUAUAUUCCAUCUAGAUUUCAUGUAUUGCUGUUCUUUUCUUGUUAAAAUGCUGUUCCAAAAUCUCAAUAUGAUGUCAUUGCUUAUCAUCACAGCAGUUGGGAAAUGCACAUGGGUGACUUGAUGUGGGUGUGGUUUUCUAGUGGGCCAGCCUAGCAGAAUCAGUGAGUCCUGAGUCUCAGUAAGAGAUCUUGUUUCAAAAAUCGUGAGUGAGUGUGUGAGUCCUGAAGAACAAGAUCCAACAUGUAUCUCUGGCCUCUGCAUGCCACCAUGCACACAUGUGUACCCGUGUGCACACAUAUGGCUAUACAUGUCCUCCUUAAAUCAUUGUAAUCACCUUCAAAUGCUUUCAGCCAAGAGUUUACCCAAACCAUGACCACAUGGGAAGCAUGCAACACUGAGACUGUCUUCUACAAUCCAUCUUCCCUAACACAUCUAGCAGGGCUCUUGGUUUCUCUCUGUCUCUCUCCCUCUCCCUCUCCUACCCACUCUCUCUCUCCCACACUAUCACACUACUCAAUUUUCUCUUUCAUCCCCAUGCUUUUAUCAUUCAUAAGUGCUAACAUUUCUUGUUUUAUACAGACACUGUUACUUGAUAGACGGUAAAAACAAUUUUUGAGAACAUGAAGACUAUUGGAUGGGAACGGUGUUAACUCAAACAUAUCUGAAAAAGCAGGUUUUUGUUUAAAGUCAUUUUCCAUGAUUCCAAACUCCUUUCUUGGUACUAAUUUCCCUAGCUUCUCUUGCUGCCUUCACUGUUAGUCUCCUUGUCUAAUUAUUUACAGCAGUAAGACUUUCCCAUCAUUCUUGAUUUAAUUUCUUAAUUUAUUCCUUCUUCCAUCCUUAGGAUAUUUAUUGGGUAACCAAAGGGUGAGUGGAGAUUUUUAUGCAGGUCACACCUUCCCGUGAAUAACAAUCUUGGUGGCAGGGAAGUCAGGUUCCUUCUACAGAGAUUAAAAGCCUUACAUCUGCAGAGGUAUUUAAUAACGUAAGGACAUUGGGAUGUUGUCUUGCUAACUUUUAAAGGUAAUUAAAGCUGUAACAGUUCAGGCUCUCCAUUGAUAGGAGUAGAACAUUCUCGAAGCUGCAAGUUGGAGGAGAAGAAGCCAUCCCAAACCUUGCAAGCAAGCAACUCUGAUAUAACUAGGCAGUGAGCUCAUAAAUGAAAUGUAGCUCGCGGAGUCACUGUGCUCAGUGAAUUUUGAAGGUUAAACAUUUCAGUUGUUAAUUUGCUCUUAUUAUUUUAAGUCAGGACAUGCGUAGACUUCAGUUUAUUGAGGUACGUGACUAAUGAAUAUAUGGCAUUUUUACAUACGGGCUAAAAUCCAAAGCAUUCAGUAUACAAAAACACCGAAGGAUUUGUCUAUGUUUAAUCACAGUUACUAAUAAAUUAAAAAACAUAACCAUAAGAUUUCAAAAUGUACUGUGGCUAAGAAAUUCUUACAGAUAGUAGCCUUUAGAUUAGUUCCACAAGGUUCCUUAGAAUAACCCAUACUAUGCCAUAUCCCCCACACAUAGUUCAAAUAUUAAGUCAUCGUUUAUAAGCUUCUUAUAAUUGGUAGCCCCUUAAUUUUUAUCUUUUAAAAAUUAGUUCACAAAGUAAUUGAACUUUUGUGAGUAGUCAUCAUACCUAUUUUAUCUUGGUUGAUUCUUGUCUCUUCCCCAUUGUACCCGUAAUAUGCUUUUUCUAGAAAUCUAACAUUUCCUCUACUGCUCAUCCAUCCAAUCCUUUGCCAAGGGUUCCUUCCCUUUUUUGGUUACAGUGUAGAAUGAGAAGUAUCAUGAAGAAAGGAAAUAGCAAAUGCUCCAGAAUAGUGAACUAGUCUUUUGUUUGUUUUUUUUUGUUUGUAUGGUUGGUCGGUUUUGGUAUGGUUUGGAUUGGUUUUGUUUGAUAACUGUGCCAAAUAUUUUCAAGAAUUAUCUGGAUACUUCACCUUAUUUCUUUGCAACUCACUGCUUACAUUAGUGUGAAGAGGGAAUAAGGAGAGGGGCUUAGCACUCCUGGCUUCCACUUUCUGGGAAUGUUUAAAAUAAAUUACCCUGCUUUUCAAGUAUGCCACACUGGGUAUCAUUCAUUUACUUUUUAAUUAUUAGCAUUUAUAUCUUUUUUCAUAUUUACAUAUCAUUUAAAAGUUCAAAGAAAAUAUUCCCGCUCUGCCAAUCUGAAGAGCUUCAUUUUAAAGGCAGAAGAAGCAUUGGGGAAUCCCAACUUAUGCCGAGUGGAGCCAAUCUCAACUGUAGGCCGUUUAACUCAAAAUCAGAGGCAAUUUUGCAUCCUACUCUGUUUGCUUUUUCAAAAACAAGUGAAACAGGUCUUGGUAUCUUUCUCCACAUGACACUUACUCGGAUCUGUCAGUGUACCACUGUGUUUAAAGUUUUCUUUCGUGGUUAAAUAUUUCCUUGCAACAAGAUCCAAGAGUUAGGCUGCCUUACACUUGGAUGCAGAAAUAUUUCCCCAAGUCAGAAGCACCCACAGCCAAGGCCAGUGCUCUGGAGGAUUCCCAGUAGCCACUCUCCUACCUCAUGCUCACUCUCAGCACAGAAGUCUGCAGAACCUGAAUCAUCCCAGAUUCUUAGAAAUAUUGACAACUUUGACAUUUUUUGUCUCUUUAAAGUUACACAGUAGAAUAAAUGAGAUGCAUGGUUUAACCUUCAUUUUUGUUUGUUUUGUUUUGAAUGAAGUGAAUGUAUAUUUGUUAAAGGAAACUGUGACAGGAGAUCUAGACUUUUAGGGACUCUUUUGUACCUCAAAGUGGUAGGUGAGCACCUUAACCCUUUACUCACGUCUUUAUUUCUUACUCAGUUGUUGGAAGUUCAGAACUCAGCUUCUAAUAAUUGCAUAGGAUUGCAUUUAUUUAUCUGUGUAUUUAUUUGCUCCUUUACCUAAUGAGAUCAACACUGAGAAUCUAACCCAGGGCUUGUGCAUGGCUGACCACCAUGUGGAGUAGGUUUGGCCUAAUGCUGCUUGUAUUAUAAUGUUAGUUUUGGUCUCCAAAACUGCUUACACAAGGGUCUCCACAUAAGACACUGAAGGACCAUGCGCUUGAUUGGUGGCAAUUGGUGAAUAAAGAUACCAGCAGUCAAUGGCUGGGCAGGGCAGACAGGCGGGACUUUUGGGAGGAGAUGGGGAAGCACCAUUGGAGGGGUAGAGGACGGACCACAAUGUGAAGAAGAGGAGAGUGAGAUGUAAUGUAGUAUAAAUGUAAAUGUCGUAUAAAUGUAAAGCAGCCCUAAGGUGGCAAGGAAGGUGGGCUGCCCAGAAGGUAAUGGGGCAAAAAAGAUAAAAUUAAGAUUAGGAGGGUGUUAAUUCAGGUAUAUGCAGAGGGGAGGUUUGCUAGCUACGAGGAGGUUUAAAAAUGCCCAGCCAUCGAGCUAAUCAAGGCAUAUCAACAUUAACUGGCAUGUGGGUGUGCCUCAUUCUACAAUCCAGAGGGGUCUGGUGAGUGGCUGGAAGUGGUUUAACUAAUUCGCUGCUACAACCAUGCUACCUCUGUAGCACAAGAUUACCCAAUUUCAUUUUCAUCUCCCAAUUAAUGUUCCUAAUUUGUAGGGUUAAAAAUAAUAUUAAACACUAGAACAGGGGUUGGGGAUUUAGCUCAGUGGUAGAGCGCUUGCCUAGCAAGCGCAAGGCCCUGGGUUCGGUUCCCAGCUCCGAAAAAAAAAAAAAGAAAGAAAAACACUAGAAUAAAUAUUUCAUUAGAAAUCAAUAGGGGAAGAAGUGAAUCUUUUCAAGCAAAUUUUGCUUUCUAUUACACAUAGAGUCUCAGAAUUGAUUGUCAAGGUCUACUGUAAUUAGAGUUUAGUUUGUUUCAGAGUAACCAGAAGUUACAACUUUCUAGUAUCUAACUUGAGAUUAGAGUAAAAGAAUAAAUCACCACAAAGAUAUUUUGUGAAGGAUAGUUCCACUACCCAGCUACCAGUCUUUUGAUUUAUACAUAGGUGGUUCAGGAUUAAAAACAGCUUUUUACAAUUCUGACUGAUCUCAAACCUAUAGUUCCAAGGUAAAAAAAAUGUGUUUAUUAAACAAUACAACUCAUGUCAGCAAAAAUGAGCUCAGCAGAUUUGAUAAGUGUGAGGUAAUUCUUUUCCUGGUGAUAUGUGACAAUCACUAAUCAUUCGCCUGAAAUCUUUAUGUGUUGAUGAAUUAGCCAAUUUGCACUGGUAAGCCAUGUCUGAUCCGGUUACUUCAGUUACCUUAAUAAUCAAUGCAGAUCACUGCAUGAUCGAUUCAGCAGCAAGAUGGGAAUUAAUCAUAAAGACAGUUCUCUAGACUAUGGUCCAAUGUAGUAACCACAAAUAGAUGUGGUUGUACGCCAAGAUUCUUUUUUCCACAUUGCUGUUAGUGAACUUUCCUCUUCGGUCUUCCUUUUGUUGGAACAGCUACUAUUUCAUUCACUCUCGAAAGAUCCGAAGCACCAAUAUAUUGAGGACAUCAGAUUUGGGUGAUGAGAGAGAAAGACCAAAAAGUUGAGUAGGAGGAGCUAGGAGGACUUGGGGGAGAGGAAAGAAUGUGAAUAAAAUGCAUUGUGUUAGAAUUUAAAAAUUAAAUGCAAAAAGGAAUAAAAGGGGUACAGAUUUUGGAAAUAUAGUUAUCAGGCAUCUACACCCACAAAAAGCAGUAAUAUUUUUAAAGAAGAGUAUCUUGGGGCCCUUGCUUCUGCCACAGAAGGAUGGACAUAACAAUAAGACAGUAGCAUUUCAAAGAGGAAGUGAGCCAUACCAAGCAUCAAACUUGAUGACACUGUCUCAAGACCUCCCAACCUUUGAAGUGUGAACAAUAACAUUUAUAUUUAUAAAAAUCAGGCAACCUAGGAGUCACAGAUAGCUUAAGACAUCCCUCUAUAAUCUCUCAUUUCUCUGGAGAAACGUGAGGUGAGGCAGUAUUCUGAGUUAGAGUGUAUUACAAGUGCUUAAUACCUCAUCCCUUCUCUGUACAAACCUACGAAGCUUAGGGCCAUUAACAUAAGGGCCCAUAAAGCAAGUGUCCUACAGUGGACUUCGUUGUACUAUGGAGGAUAUGAAGGUGGCCACAUAAUUUUUUCAGAGAGUGAAAUUGAGUUGGAGCAACACUGAAAAAAAAAAUCAAUGCAUGCCUCGUUGAAAAUUUCAGGCUCAGUGGAAACCAUACUGGCAAGGGAAGACGAACUUAGACAUGGGUUCUGGCUUUCUCCAAGAUUUGUGCAUUCCCCUUUCCUUUUCAGUGAAUGUGAGACAAACCACUGUGAUACAAUGUUUUCCCACAGAGGAUUUUCCCCUUCACAAUACUUAGAGUAAGGGACUUUUUAAUUAGACUUCCACCGUUUACUUAAGUUGGGCAUUUCUUUCAAGUUCAUUGGAGAAUGGCUCUUUUCAGUUCACAGAGGUCACUGGAGUCACAAAUGUCUUCUCACUUGAUCACCUUCUGCCAGCAACCUCACACUUUCCAGGGAGUACUAUCCAGUUGUUUUUAAUGAUUAUCAUGUCAGUGGGCAUGAAGGUCAUGUGACAGAGUGUGCAUCACUAAGCAAGGAUUCAGGCAAGAGCUAUCAGCAGGUGAGGGCAGACACUGAACUUCUCGUAGAUGAAAAUAAAUGUUUUUUCAUUUCACUGGGUACAAUAUUGAGCAGGCACUGUAGAAAGAGCUAUAAAAAACAUUAACAUCAGAGCUUCUACAAAAACUUGAGAAAAUGUCUUUAGAAAAUCACCAAUCUCACAUUUGAAAUAAAUGGUUUUUCAAAACUAUCUGGAAAAUAGAUACAGUGAAUCAAAUCAAGCAUGGUUUCACAACUGCUGAUGAUACAAGUUUAGCAGGUAUUGAUACUUUUAACUAGUUGAACUACUCAUAAGAGGCAAAUAAAAUUGGUCAUAUUUAUUAUUUAUGAAACCAUUUUUAUUUAAAUAUUUUUACUUACUUAUUUUACAUCCCUCUCACUCCCAAUCACCUCUUCCCACAAUCUUUUCCCAAUUUCCCUCCCCUUCUUCUCUAAGCUGGGUUCCCCCACCCCCAGUUAUCCCCCCAUCCUGGCACUUCAAGUCUCUGAGAGGCUUCCUCUCCCCCUGAGGUCAUACAAGGCAGCCCAGCUAGUAGAACGUAUCCCGUAUAUAGGCAACAACUUUUGGGAUAGCUUUCUAUUCCAUUUGCUCAUCGAGGUCAAGCUGCAUAUCUGCUACAUAUGAGCAGGGAGGUCUAUGUCCAGCCUGAAGUCACCAUUUUUGACUGGCCUCAAAUCUUCAUGCAUAUGUAAAUAUGUAAAUUUAUUUUUUUUGGAUUUCUAUCCUAAAGAUCAAGUCUAUUGUGCCCGAGUCAGAAAGAUCUGAUACUGUAGAAUGUGGUAGAUAUACUGAGGGUCACUUUGCUGGAAUAUCCCAUGGAGCAUUUGCAUUCUAAGACACAAGGUUUCCAACAUCUAUAUUCAAAACAUUCUUGCCAAUAUUCAAAUCAUAGCGGAGACUUAGAAGACACACGGGCCUGAGAAGUUUGGUCACUUGGGAAAAGACCCUGAAGAUGCUUAAGUUGUGUUCUCAGGCUGACUCUCAACUAACUUUAGAAAGAAUUGUGGUUUUUUUUUACAUGGACUUGUAUUGCAGUUUAACUAACCACUAACUCAGUCAAUAUGAAACCCAAGAAGUGAGGAAAUAUUUAAGCCAUAUGUUUUUCAUUUUCUUUCUCUCUCUUGCUUUGCUUUAAGAGUAUUUUUAUUUAUUUUUUCAGUUCUAUUGAAAUAGAUUUUUAAAUACAAUAUAUCUUGAUUACGGUAUCCUCACCCAUCUCUUCCUCCCAGUGGCUUCCCAACUCUCCUCCCAUCUGGAUCGACUCCCUUUCUGGGUCUCAUUAGAAAGGAACAGGUCAAGCCACAUAUUUCAAUGUGGGCAGAAGGAAAUAAAUUAGAUCAAACAUCCUUUCUACCUGUCAAAGACAAGCCAUGCCUUUAUGAUGAAUAUUUAAAUUAGUCAAGAGAACUAAGGACUUUUUCAGACAUUUAUUACAGUGUAGGACAUUUGUACACUGAUUGGAUGUAGUAAGUUCUUUUAAAGUAUAAAAUUUUCCCAUAUGUUGAACAAAAGCAGAGGCACCACUACUCUUCUAUUUUCUCUCUUUCAUGGUUACUCCACCCACUGUUCAGGAUGUGAACCAUAAGCAUGCCCCACCUUGCAGAAUGUGCCCAGUUCUUUCUUUCUACUGGGAUUUUGUUGUCGUCUUUCUUGUUAGGUGCACUUCUGUGCUCACAGUUUUGUCACAUCCACAGAGCUUUGUUUUUAUGCAUUUGAAAUGUGUCAUGGUAAACUGAUUCUAGCAGUACUCUCUCUGUGGGAUAUUUCAGGUCAUAGAUUUCAAGUUUCUCCCAACUCUGCUGUCUAAAUGUCAUGGAGUUAUCUCAAUCUUGGAACAAUUUAUCUUAUUUCUUGGGAUUUUUGCCAAAUUUAUCAGGAAAGACAAACUCAAUUCCCAAAUCCCAAGUUUACAAAGUACUCAGAGAUAACUCCCUUAAAAUACAGACCAACAGUAAGAUAAAGCUUUUACAUCUUCAUUUGCUGGUAGGGGUCAAUUUUCUUCAUCCACAAUUUAACAACUACUGUCUAUCCAUUAUACAGUCACAAUUCUAUGCGUGGAAAUCUCAGUACAACUCCCACACAAAGAGGUCAUCUCUUUUAUUUUAUUACUGACGACCAAAACUGCCUGUGCCUGAAAGGAAGCACUGAACUUGCUACAUUUAUGCCUGGUUUUAAUUCCUCAGAGUAAUUAAACCCUGAGAAUUUCCUGUAGUUUGCUAAGAACUAGGCUCUGCAUUUAGAAGGCCACUAUAAGGCUACAUGCUGUCCCUCUAUGUACUCUCUGUCAAGAAAUGGUUCAGUUUAUUUAGCAGGAUACAGUACCAGAAAUAAAGUUUCAUGGAUGCCCAGAGUUUCUGACUGAAGUUACUUAGAUUGAUCUUUCACGCCUAUAAAGUUUCUGGAUUUGUGUUACAUGGGUUUCCAUGCCAUCCUUGGAAUUCUGAUUAAUCAACUUGCUAUUGGUUUAGUGUGUACCUGUGGUCUCUCCUGCCAAACCCCCAGUUUCUUUCUAGCUCAUGCACAGCCUUCAUUUAUUUCUGCUAGUUUCAUUGUGCCAGGCACAGAGAACUUAUUGUAGUUGUUCAAUAAACAUUGAUUUCAACAAUCAAACAACAAUAUGCAUCUUUCAUAGGACUAGAGAAAACCAUUGCAGGCGUUGUCUUUCCUACAAUUUUCUUUCACUUAAGCAUUUUAAUUUUCCCCCUAGAGGAAGGUAUUGUAUACCAAUAACUUAAUAAUUCCUCAUGCUAUAACGAGUGGUCCUUUGCAAAAAUGUAACCAUACUGAAGACCCAACCUGAUCUUCCUCCCACCUGCAACUCCUUUGACAUAUUGACUGAUGUAACAGUAACCACUUGAAGGUUCUAGGGUUGGGUUUAGUCCAGAACAGUUAAGAGCUGUGAUUUGAUUAUUGACAGAGAAAGGUAAUAUAAUUAAAAGUGAAGGUAGCCAUUUUGGAAAUAGAGAAAUGCUUUGUAAGUUAGUUUCAUGGCCUAGUUGUACUGAGAAAGCUUGGAAGUUAUGAAACUUGGGUGAUGUGUAUCAUCCAGUGGAGGAAUUCUGAAAUCAGAGUUGUUCCUUAUUCAUUGUAGCUCGGUAGGAAUUUUUUGCUUACUUUUUUAUCCAGUAAAUGAUUCUAACCUCUCUUUCUCAUUGAGGAUAGAAGAGGUCUUCAAAUCUGGAGGCUUUUAGUUGCCCCUAUAGAAAUUGACACUUUUCUAAAUCUGAAUAGAAAUGGAACCAAAAAAGAAACAAACAAAAAGAAACAAAAACAGGCACAAUGAUAGAUUUAUAAAAGUAAUGUUUCUCCAUAUGAUGGAAUUGUUAAUCUAAUGUGUCUUUUCUGUAAAAUUAUGCAGAAUUUAUUAUUUAAAUGAUAGUAAAGACUUCAUUAAAAGAUUAAUGGUUCUGGUUUACCAAUUUACUUAGGAGGUCACUUCAUUAUUUAGUUCAUUAAUUCUGUAAAUGUCAGGUUUACCAUGAACCGUAAUGAUUUGCAUAAGUCACGUUGUCAUUCUACUGGUAGACCAGUAUAAAGACUACAAAUAGGAAUUUGGCAGCAUUUAUACAUUUCCUGUUAAAUAAAAGGUGUGUUGUUGUUUUUAUCCAAUCCAACAAAGAAAAACAGCUGUAAUCUAUCUAUGAAAAACAAGGUAAUCUAUCUGAUAUUCUCCUAACGUUUAUAUUUAAUGCAUCUGAUGAACAGGUAAGAUGGAAAAAAAAUCUCUAGAUUAAGUAAUAUGAAGAAGCCAAUAUUUGUGACCAUGUUUUACAUAAAAUCAUUUCUAUCCGUGAAGGAGUAAUCAAGUCUUUGAUCAAUCCUUAUUUUAUUUUAUUUAUUAAAAUGAUUAAUUAUUACAGACAUCAUCAACAACAACAACAAAAACAGUUUAGGCAGGAAGUCAGUAAAGAAAACUCUUGAAAUUUUUGAUAGAGUUGUUGGAGAGAAGCUCAGCAUACCUGGUGACUUCUGCUGGAAAUAUAGGAGGGGAAGGACUCAAGUUCUCUGAGGAGCUGGUCACUGGGAGUUUGACCAUGCUCCAGGGAGUAUAUGGACAAUACAAAUCGGAUUUGGUAUUAUUUUUCUUUUUCUUUUGUGGGAGAAUAGGUCACAAGAGGGGAACAUAGACCUGGGAGGACUGGGAAUUGAAUCUGAUAGGGGUGCAUUAUGUGAAAUUCCCAAAAUAUCAAUAAAUAUAUUAUUGGAGAAAGAGGUUACUAGGACAACUCCAGAAAAUCUUCAUUUCAGUAUUGUAAGAGUUAUAGAGCAGCACUGACUUUUCACUGUGGUGACCAUCCUCUACACUCUUAGUGUAUUCACAUCACUCUCUGCAAGUGUUUACAUUUAAUUUAAUUGAUCUAUAUGAUAGGAAAUUGGUGCAUUACUAGAUUUAGCAGUUGAAAUAGAAUAAAAAAGCCAAUGGUAAUUAUUUAAGAUACACCAGGAGUUUGGAAAAUGCAUGAAAUGAGAUAUUCUGUCUUUAUUUUCUUAUUCUGCCAAGUUUUGUAGAUCCUUGAGAAUAAGUGUAGGAAUCCGCUAUCAUCUGUCUAUAAACUCUCAACUCCCUGUGUGCCUGUCUUGAGAUACAUAUUUACAAAGCUAGGAAAAUUGUGAAAAAUAAGAGAAUGGGUCUUAACUUUAUAGUUGUAUUUUGCAUAAUAUGUAGUGAUAAUAACUAAUAACAACAAAAUAAACAACAGUAAUAAAAAUAAAUAACCAAUUUAUAUUUGUAUCUUUGUAGAAUUUUUUGGCAAAAUAUAGAUAUUUGGUUUGGAAGGAGAAAUUAAAUGUGUGUCCUAAUAUAACUUUAUGAGAACAACCUGCCUUAAAUGAUACAUUCUAUUAAGAAAUUAAUUUUCAAAUGUACAUUUUAAUGCUGAUGGAAGAUUAUUUUUCUCUAUGAUUAGUCUGACUCAAUACUUAUGAAGUAAAGAUUAGUCAUGGAAGCAGCUUUUGCAUUGCUCUUAAGCAUGGUGCCUCCUGAGGAAAGAAAGGGGACUAGCUUCCACACUUGCUUUCUAUGUUUAGAGCAAGAAACCCCUUUCUAAAGAUUCUAGCUGUAUCUUUUAAAUACAUUGGCCCUCAAACCAUGGAAGUUAACUAGAAUUAGAGCUCCUUAAUUGAUGUCAAGUUAAACUAGAGUUAAACUGACAAUCUGCUUCCCUACAUCAAUGCUAGCUCUGCAAGCAAGAAAAUAAAGGGAUAGAUAAUGCCCCUUACAAGACAGGAGGAGUAACAUGGCUCCUACAUGGCUAGUCAGAGGACAUUAAGAGGAAUUGCGGACUUACAGUCUGAGUCUUUUGGUCAUUUGUUAUGUGAUCUUCAUCUGUGCAAAAAUUAUGGUUAAUAUACAAUUACUAAAUAACAUGAUUCUCCAAGCUUGGGCCCAUCCACUUCUAAGAGAUAAAAGUCAUGGAGUUGUUAGAGCUCUGUGCAUGAGAUUGGGGAAGGUAUCUGGAAGCUAGCAAAAGCCUUAGCUGGCCCAACUAUGCAUCUCUGAGAAUGCCAGUCCCCAGAUCUGUAAGAUGUACAUAAUGCCUGUCAUGCCAGGUUGUCGUGAGACUCAGGUAACAUACACAAUGGAGUUUGUAGAUAAUGAAGCUUUACACUACAUAAUACAAGGUAUGUCUAAUGAAACACUCAGUUUUACCUCAGCACCAUCACCCUCUCCAGCUGUUUGGUCCUGUUUUCCUGCUGAUUCACCAAAGUAGCUUCCUGCUGUCUCAUUACCACUUCAUGUUUAACAUGGCAAAGAUCAAGAUUUUAAUUUUUUCCUGGAACAUGCACUUCUCUUUUCAACUCUGGAGUCCCUGUAGUGAAUAUUACUCCAGUGUCAAUCAAGUAGGCUGAAGGAUGAGGCCAUUUCAGAGGCUGCUCCCUCAGUCUCUUGCUGAACAACCAUGAUUUCGUGAAGUCUUGCCACUUGCUAAGUAGCAUCUCUUAUUUCUAACCAUUUACUCUUUAAAAAAUUCCAACAAAUAUGUGGUUCAGUUUUCUGUCAUUUAAUUAAUCUCCUGCAUAAAACAACUGUACCCUAGCCAUCAGCUUUAUUUGUGCCUUUCAUGAAAUCCCUCUAAGAUAUCUAAGUGAGAUCUAAAAUAUUCCUAUAUGACAUCUGCCCCUAUGUUCAUGCAAACACGUAGAGUUGCAGUCAAUUGUAAAUAACUGUCUGUGCCUUGCAUACCUGGGAGAAUCCCCAGUCCUCCUUUGCACAAGGGUACACUUACCAAAGGAAGACAAUAAAGGUCUGCCAAAUGCAAGGCCUCCAGAGGAAAUCAACAUUUUUGCCAACCUCUUUCCCCCCAGCCCAUAACACUAGAGUACACAUUCUACGAUGAGAUAGAAGAAUAUUUCACAGUCAAAGUGAAAACAAUGGUAGAUAUGGAGUCACGUGACCCACCUCAGAUGGACUGCUUUGCGGAUAGGAGAAUUGAUCUCCCAGCUCAUAACAAAAUGUCUUUAGUGCAAGUCAUGGUAGCAAUAAAAAGGAAUAAGAACGGAAGUUUUGUUUGGCUCUGAGGUGACUGAGGAAAGAAUAUAGUUAUUAUAGGUUGUAGCAAGCUACUGAGAGGAAAAGAAACAUAGAAUGCUUGAGUGCAAAUGGACUCCUUUGUGGUCCUACAGACCUUGUGUUGAAUAUGGACUUCUGUAAAAAAAAAUGGCUGGUUAAUGUGCAUGGAUGUGUCAUAUUGAAAUGUUUAUCAGUAAUCAGUGAACUUUGAAACCAAGUUGCCGAGCCCACUUCAAGGAUGUUCCUAUUCCCCUUUUCAUUUAUUUAUUACCAUCGGGCAAAGCACUGAGAGGCUGACCAUUACUUAACCACAAGAUCUUACCUAUCUAUUUACACUGAGCUCAGUUCAAUCAAUAAUUAUUUAAGACUGGGUGUCCCUUGGAAAGGAAAGAACAUUAAUGCUACCAGGGGAAAAUGUCUUUAGUAAUUGUGAUCCACAGGUUGGAUUAUUAACAUGAGGUCUGCAUAUUAAUAGUUCCUUGUUCUUCCCAAAAUCAUUUCUUUCUUUGUGGAAGGCAUACUGUAUAAACCUCUUGGCAUUCAUUUCUUUCCUCUGCUCUUCUAAACUUCCUGCAUCUGGGGUAAUUCCCCAGUGAGUACUGAAUCUUUCAUGUUGCGGCAUAGUAUUAACAAAAGAAGUUCACAAUGAUUUAAAGAAAAGUUUCUUUCCUAUCAAAAGUGUAUUCUUAGAUAUUUAUUCUCACUUUUCACUUACCAGAGGCAAGCACAUUGCAUCAAAAAGAACAAGGUGGCAUGACUUAAGUUUCUGUGGUCUUUCUCUUUUUAUUUCUCUCUUUUUUUUCUCUUUUGCUCUUAAUAUCUGGCCACCUUAGGCAAGUUCUUUAAUUUUUUUCUGAGACAGUUUCUUAGAGUACUUGAACUGUGAAACUUGCCAAAUUAGUCCAGCACAGAUGCCCUAUAGGAAGACAAUUCAUUUAACACUCCAGCACAGCAAAAAAAGACUUUUCCAAUUCAUUCAGCAUCUGCCUGUUCAUUCCUUUGUUUCACCAAUAGGCAAUCUGUCUAAACUCUGUACCAUACAUUGUUUUGUUCCUUUGAUUAUAUAGAUGAAUAAUUCAACUUAAAUUCUGUCAUUAAAGAAUUCUUCUCUGGAACAGAGGAAGGAGACAGACUAGUAGGCAGAAAAUAGAUGAUAGAUCUCACAACAGGUAUGUAUAUCAUCAUUAAGGCAGAGGUGGGAAUGUCUAACUGUUCAGGGAAACCUUUAUGACACUGCAGUGGAGGUACUGGCAGAACAUGGGGAAGAAUCAGAUAGGGAGAGAAGGGGACUUUUAGGAAAUAUUUAUCUUUAUGUUUGCAACAUACAGUUUGUGACAAGACAUGACAUACAGAGCUUCAGAGUAGAGUGGAACUAGGUCUUUGCUCUAGAAGGGUGACUCUGAAAAAUUAUGCUACUUUAAGGGAAGGAAAUUGGGGAGAUUUUUUUUUUUGUAAUAUGAAAGUGUAAACUAGUCCAGUCAUUAUGGAAGCAGGCAUGACACUUCUAAAUUUGUUUCCACAUUAAGAAUAGAUAAGACAUGAUGCAGUUUCCUCAAAACCUAAAAAUAUAGUCAACCUAUCAUAUAAUCCAACUGUACCACUCUAAGCCAACAUGUCACAGAGACGCUGGCACAUAAUAGCACUUUUAAUAAUAGCUAAAUUAUGAAACCAACCUAAGUAGCCAUCAACAGAAAAGUGGAUGGAAAAAAUGUGGUUUAUAUGCACAGUAGCAUUAACUUUUUGGCCAUAAAAAAGUGACAUUUUUUCAUUGGUGAAAAAACAGAUGCAACUACAGAUAAUAAUAUCAAAGACAAUCUUAUGAAAGUAAAUAUUACAUUUUCUAUCAUGUGUUUAGUUCAAGAUUUUAUAUAGAUCCAUGAAACUAUAUGCGUACAGAUGACAAGAAACUCUUCAGGAGAACAAAGGGAAGGAAGAGGGAAGCAACAUGAAAAAGGAAGGGCAGUUAGGUAUGUGAGAGGAAAAUAUCCGUAAAGUUCACUGCAUACUUUCAACAAUGGUCUUACAUGGCUUAGUACAAAAAAAUAAGCAUAAUCCAAAAACAGGAAAAUAGGGAAAGAUUAUGGAUCUGGAAAUGUAGGGAGAGUAGAAAAGGGAAAGCAAAGAAUCAGAUGGAAAAAUUACCAUACAGAAAGAAAAUAAUGAUUUCUGGGUUAAAGGUUGAGGGCUAAAGUAUUAGAAAACACUCUAGACAAUGUCUGAUCCCAGAGCUCCACCGUGAACAUGCCCAGUGCCUGGUAUUUGAAUCCACAUGAUACCUGUGAUGUAGGCACGGAAAACUGAAUGACUUCUUUCUACUCAGUUCACAGAGAUGACUAUUUGCAGCCAUUGAGACUAAAAUUGGGAUUCAACAUUUGGUAUUUCUCUUGCUCUAAGACUAAAAGUAGAAGGGAGCAGGACUCCAAAUUCUGCUCUUAUGUAGUCUCUUGGAUCCUCUUAAGUUUCUAUUCUUAUUUUAAAUUGGGCUUUGUUUUACUUUGACAAGUUUGAGAUUUUUAUAAAAAGGGCAAAUAGAGAUGAAAGUGGCUGCCUCCUCUAGACAGGCAUGACUUCCAGAGGAGGGAGGGGGACAUCAUUCUACCUACAAAACUUUUGGCCCAAAUUUGUCUGGCCUACAAGUCCUGUAGAGAUAAAGAUGAGGCAGAGACUGAGGGAACAGCCAACCGAGUACUAGCCCAACUUGAGACCCAUCCCAGAUGAGAAAGCCAACCCUUGACACUAAUAAUGAUAUUCUGCUAUCCUCGCAGACAGGAACCUAGCAUAUCUGUCUCCUGAGUGGCUUCAUCCAACAAUGGAUAGAGGCAGCCAAACAUCAGGCAGAGCUCAGGGAGUAUUGUGGAAGAGUGGGGGACAAAAGUGACCAAGCCAGAGGGGUCAAGGAAAUCACCAGAAGGCCUACAGAGUCAACUAACCUGGGACUGUGGGGGUUCAAAGAGCUUGGACCACCAACCAAAGAGUACCCAGGGGCUGAAUCUAGGCCUCCUACACAUUUGUAGCAGAUGUGCAUCUUGGUAAUCAUUGGCUAACAAGUGGAGCCAAGGCUCCCUUUUCCUACCCAGGACUGCCUAUUUGGGCCUCAGUGAAAGAGGAUAUGCCUAGUCCUGGGAGGACUAGAUUCCCAAGGGCAGGAUCGUACCCAAGGGAAACUCCCCUUCUCUAAGGAGGGGGAAAUUGGAAGAGGGAUUUGCAAGGAUGAGACCGGAAAGACAGAAUGGGGCUGUGACUGAGAUGUAAAACAAACAAACAAACAAAUGUUUUAUCAAGAAUAAGAACAGACACUGCAGUUUUUCGAAAUUGAAAUAUGUAGAAGAAAGACACGGAGCUGAGUGCAAGUUAGCUUAAUAAGGCCUUUGAGAACAAACCUUCAAUGUGUCUAUGUGGUGACCUGAUAUUAAAUUUCCCUUGUCAAUAUGGCUGCACUACAGCUAUGCUUUUUAAACCGCAUUUAAGGUGCUUUUGUGAAGACAAUUUGUUAAUUAGUAAUUUAGGUGAUUAAGAAUACAACGAGUUGAUAUUUGAGCAAAGGAGAUUAUCAUAGACAACCUUGAUGGCAGGCUCAUGAGAGGCCUGCCCCACUUCUUUGUGCUCUUCCAAGUUCUAGUGUGGGAGGUUGUUUUCUUCACUGGAAGUAUUGGUUUGGGUCUAGCCAGCCUUCUUGCUCAAGGGCUGAAACUGAACUGAGCCCAUGAGAUAGUCUGAAGAUAGAAAACGUAAAUUUGCAUUAGGAACUGGCGUUUAAAGGAAUGGGAUGUACAGUGUCAAGAGGUGUGGCCUAAACCUAAAUGUAAGUGGUACCACCCUAUGAGAUUGGUAUCCUAGACUGCAUAAAUCAGAAGUGCAAGUGAGCAGAUUUUUAUUGCUCUUGCCUUUCUGACUGCAGAUGCAACACCACCAGCUGCCCAUGCUCCUCCUGCCAUGCCUCCACUAUGAUGGACUUAGAAUUGAACUUCAGGGUAGACUAAACCCUUUCUUUCUUAAGAGGCUUUUGUCAAACACUUUGCCGCACAAGAUGGGUUACUAAUUUGACAACUUGGUUUUUCUUUGUAAAUGCUAUCAACAGAUAUUCCAUUGUUAGGCUGAAGGAGAACUUAUUUCUUCACUUACUGAAGACCAUCUGCACAGUUUCCAUUUGGGAAAGACUGACAAAUGAUUCCUAAACUUGAGAAUUGCCAGUUUAGGCAGUCUCAGCUUUGAGCUGUGCUAUUAGAAAAUAUUGAGGUUAAUUCUGCUGUUCUUGGAUUCCAAGCCUCUGCAUUUUGCAAGGAAGAAAUUUCAGGUUUCUCCGAGAAUCAUCUGCAUGUCUAUUAAAAACUGUCUUCUUGUCUUGGGGGCUAUGGCCAUUGAUUAACUUAACAGCAUUUCUUGGUUCAUGAUUAUUUGAUAUCAAGUGGUUAAGUAGAGUUGAUUCAGAACUCUUGACUGAGUUGUAAACCAGAUUCCAAAUGUGGACUGAAUACUGAGCCAGAUGCUAGAGCUGUAAUGAUGAAUUAGGUGGCGCCACCCUCAAGAGGGAAUUUUCUCAGUCAUGCAGGUCAAGAAUAUCUGGCGUUUUCUAUGAUCAAUAAAUAAUUCAUUUUCCUUCAUACCUGUAGUGUAUAGUUAAGGUAGACAUAUGUCUUGAUUUGCCUGGGAAAGUCCAAAUUCAUUUUAGUUAUCCUUCAGUAUCAAUAGUGCCCCCUUUCCUUCCCUAAAUCAUUCCAUUUGAAUGAAAAGUUUUAUGGCCAUUCUAUCUAUAAUAAAAAUUAUGGUCACUGAAGUACAAAGGGUCCAAGAUGAUUAGAUACUGCCCAAGUGAAAGAAAGUGAGAGUGGUCGUUCAGCAAUGCAGUGUCCUAAUCAGUUUGAUUUCCUAUCUACUGAACACAAUGAGGGUAAAAGAAGAGAAUCAAAAUAGUGUCUUUAUUCUAAAAAUAAAAAGAGAAAGCAAAGGCAUAAUCUCUACCUAUUCAUUCAUUUUAAUAUGCAAAUUCUCAGGUAUGAGGUCAUGAGAGCUGCUGAUUUUUGAAGAGGCUAUAUAAAUUGGAUGACUCAAACCAGAACAAAAGAAAUAGACCAUUGGUGACUUACAACCAUAAACUGUGUUUUUCUGUUGAUGCUGUGUAUUUUUUUGAAAUAAGGGCCAAUUCUUAUUAAAAUGUCAUUUAAGCUCAAUUGCAAUAUGCACAGUUACUUUCCUAGGACAUGCAAAUAUAAAAGUAUGGAAUUGUUCAUCUGUAUGUACAACACAGCUUACAUAAUAGACUAUUCACAUGAAUAUACCUUCUGGAUAGUUAAAGUUUGUAUAGCACAUAGCACAGUAUGUUUUUACUUCUUAAGAAUUGCAAGGAUCUAGCUAUCUUGACCUCACAUCGUCAUUGCCAGGUAGACCUUCUACAAUUUUAGCUGUCAAAACCAAAACCCUUCUUGCCUCUUCUUCAUCUUUUAACUGCACUUCAGACUCUCCACUCCGGCAAUGUCUUAGCAUCUCGUCAAUCAUUUUCCAUGUCUCCCAGCUUUCUCUCUCCUUUGCUCUCCAGCUUGUCCUCAGUCUAUUCGAAUCUUAUUCUCUUUUUAUCCCCACUUCAUUACUUUUAGACUUUCUGCUCCCAUAUCAACACAAAUGCUUUGUCACAAUGUCCCAGGACACAGACUACUCUACCAAAAGGCUCCCCACUCAAUGUCUCACUUGGCUUUUAUGUGUGGCAUUAAGAUUUCUUCAUGGCUCUCUCAGGACACUUUGCUCCACUGAACUCCACUGAAGUUUGCCUUGGUUUCUUUAUCCUCUGGACAUGACUUAAAUAUUUAGUAUCAUUUGUAUAUUUAUCCACAUGUUGAUAAUUCACGAAACUACUUUCUUUGGAGAUUUUGUUACAAAAAUUCAAAAUGCACAUAUUCAAUUGCCUAUGAGUCACUGCCACCUAGAUCACAUAAAAUAACCUAAAAAUCAGCACCUCCAAAUCUCUACAGACUUUCCCUCUCUUUCUCUCACAUGCAGAUCCUUGAAAGUAACAUAACAUCUUCCCAGACACUCGUGCAGAAACUGAAGCCAAUCUAGAUUUCACCCUUUGCCACCUUCCCUCCACCCUUGAUUGUUUUCAGUAUCAAACGCCAUAUAUAACUUUUCUUUCCUCACUAGGCAUCUCCUGGAUGCUGUUUUUCUUUUGGUUUUCUCACCUCUUACCAUAGUUAUUGCAGUUCAUAUCUUAAAAAGAAGUGCAGUCGAGGAGCAAGA